Molecule: long non-coding RNA, 541 nt
Organism: Patiria miniata (bat star)
Lineage: Eukaryota; Metazoa; Echinodermata; Asteroidea; Valvatida; Asterinidae
Exons: 4
Source: RefSeq, a predicted model, not a curated record
AUUGUCAAUUGUAAUUGAAGUCCGAGCUAGAAAGAGAAAAAGUAUUGUAACAUGUGUUGUCAAUUUGUUUACUUUAAACUUCAGGUGCUAAAUGAAAUGUCAGUGGCAGUCAACUGUGAGGAAGCCAAGAAACCUGUCUGCAAAAACAAGAACAGAUUCCCCAAUGUACUUCCAUGUACAGGCUGAUUGGUCCAUUGCUGAGAUGAAUGAUGAGAUUAGAGAGAUCAAGCCACGCCUACCUCUACACAUCACAGACUGAUAAACAGGAUUUCAUUCACAAGCUGGUAGUGCAUGAGAUCCGUGUCUCGUGGACAAGGUUCAACAGAGAUGCGGUGCUUGGACUCUAUGACACCUACAACAAGUCACAGUUGAGCUAGAGAACAGCCAAGUCAUGCUGAAAGGCUGCAAAGCAUCAAGCUGUGUCAUAUCGUCUGCACGUCUAGUGCCCAGAUCAUGCAGUGUUCCCACUUACCACUGCUGCCUGGAGGGAAGGUCGCCUGACUAAGAAGACCAGCUGGGUGGGCAAGCUGGAUGGACUGCA